UCGAACGGAGAUUAUACGCAGAGGCGAUUUCGGUCAAAUCAUGUAAAAUCUUAUUGGCGGACGGGUGAGUAACGCGUGGGUAACCUGCCUUACACUGGGGGAUAACACUUAGAAAUAGGUGCUAAUACCGCAUAAGCGCACGAAGCCGCAUGGAUUUGUGUGAAAAACUCCGGUGGUGUAAGAUGGACCCGCGUCUGAUUAGCUUGUUGGCGGGGUAACGGCCCACCAAGGCGACGAUCAGUAGCCGGCCUGAGAGGGUGGACGGCCACAUUGGGACUGAGACACGGCCCAAACUCCUACGGGAGGCAGCAGUGGGGGAUAUUGGACAAUGGGGGGAACCCUGAUCCAGCGACGCCGCGUGAGUGAAGAAGUAUUUCGGUAUGUAAAGCUCUGUCAGCAGGGAAGAAAGAAAUGACGGUACCUGACCAAGAAGCCCCGGCUAACUACGUGCCAGCAGCCGCGGUAAUACGUAGGGGGCAAGCGUUAUCCGGAAUUACUGGGUGUAAAGGGAGCGUAGACGGUUAAGUAAGUCUGGAGUGAAAGGCCGGGGCCCAACCCCGGGACUGCUCUGGAAACUAUUCAACUUGAGUGCAGGAGAGGUAAGCGGAAUUCCUAGUGUAGCGGUGAAAUGCGUAGAUAUUAGGAGGAACACCAGUGGCGAAGGCGGCUUACUGGACUGUAACUGACGUUGAGGCUCGAAAGCGUGGGGAGCA
RNAcentral lists this ribosomal RNA (713 nucleotides) under uncultured bacterium. RNAcentral describes it as "bacterial SSU rRNA". It matches the Rfam family "Bacterial small subunit ribosomal RNA", at positions 62 to 770 of the family's 1533-position model. The record is from RNAcentral.